ACAUUAAGAUAAUCGCUAGUAUUACUAGAGGAAAGUCCAUGCUCGCACAUCCUGCGAUGGAUGUAGUGAUUAAGCUAAGUGAAACAAUAAACUUAGGUAACGAAAGUUAACGGCUGGCAAUAUUCCUAAAAGAUAUCUCAUGGAAUUAGCCUAUAAAAGUGUCAAAGAGACGAGCUUGAUAGAAAUAUUAAGAGUGGAACGUGAUAAACCCCUUAAGCGAGAAACCCAAAUUUGGUAGGGGAACUUCUGAAGACAAAACGAAGUUAUUCAGGAGGUGCAUUUGCACAGAUAAAUGAUUAUCUAAUACAGAACAUGGCUUAUUAAA
This 325-nucleotide RNase P RNA is filed under the name Candidatus Colivicinus equi. Its description in RNAcentral is "RNase P RNA component class B". It matches the Rfam family "Bacterial RNase P class B". Rfam says of the family: Ribonuclease P (RNase P) is a ubiquitous endoribonuclease, found in archaea, bacteria and eukarya as well as chloroplasts and mitochondria. Its best characterised activity is the generation of mature 5'-ends of tRNAs by cleaving the 5'-leader elements of precursor-tRNAs. Cellular RNase Ps are ribonucleoproteins. Lineage: Bacteria; Bacillati; Bacillota; Erysipelotrichia; Erysipelotrichales; Erysipelotrichaceae. The record is from RNAcentral.